Long non-coding RNA from Marmota monax (woodchuck), 4153 nucleotides. RefSeq lists it as uncharacterized. The transcript has 3 exons. The record is from RefSeq and is a predicted model, not a curated record. Lineage: Eukaryota; Metazoa; Chordata; Mammalia; Rodentia; Sciuridae.
GGCUAUCCCUGUGUCACAGGGCAUCAGGCUGCCCCCACAGCCCGUCAGGGUUGUAUUGAUCCCCGCCCCUUCUUCUGGCAGCCUGCCCUGUGGCUCCCAGGAACUUCAUGGGGGGAAAACUAUCCCUCAAGAGGCCACAGCUGGAAGGUCCCUGAGGGCAAUGUGAUCCCCCAACCCGGCACAGAGGUCAACGGGAAAUCGCCAGGCACCAUCUGCCAGCAGCUCAGCCCAGGCUGCUUCCAACCCAACUCCUGGUCACAGCUGCCCUCGGCCAGGCCGCCUGCUCCCCCAGCCUGCAGUUACCACUGCCCGGGGUGAUCUUCCUGUCCCCUGAGGGCGCCAGGUGCCACUAGAGCCCGGGCCUUGGGGCUCCUGAACAGGAGUGGGCGGGACGGCACUAAGUCAGCAUCUCCAGAACUCUAGCCGGCCCGGGACGCCGCGGCAGCUGCGGACCGGGGAGGCAUACUUGACUCUUUUGAAACACAGAGGGCUGCGGGGAUCCUCCCACCGGCCUGCCGCCUCCCCGCCCCCAGUCUCCCCAGGGCUCCGUCCAGGAACCUACCCAUAAGGCCAGGUGCAGCCCCUCUGCGGUCCGGCUCAGGUGUGAGCCCCGGCCCUGAAGCUCUGUGCCUUUCAAACACCACCAAGAUUCAAAUACAGGGGAGUCUCAACGGUUAUUCCUAUUUUUGUUCAAUCCAUCUGAGCUGGAAGUGAAAAUAUAAAUAUUCGUACUGCCUACUCUUCAUUGUUAAAGUGGAAGAAGGGAAGAGCCAUGUUAUCUGUAAAGUGUUGACAUGAAGAAUAGCUACGUCAGAAAAAUGUGCUGGAGAUUGAACCCAGGGCCUUAUGCAUGCAAGGAAAGCACUCUACCAACUGAGCUAUAUCCCCAGCCCCUAAAAUACUUUUAAGAAACUUAUCAAUCUCCUAUUACAUGCUAGCUCUGUGCUAGGAGUGUUAAUUAAGGGUUGUUUCCUCUUUAAUGCACACAUCUGCAGGACAUCUUUGCCCUCUUGGUAACUCCUGCCUGCCAGCCCUGGGGGCAGAGGUGCCCAGAGGACCUGCACUUAACAAACUGUGGUUGGGUAGAGGCAGUAAACAAACUGUUGAGUGCUGCUCCCAUGGAUUUGAGAUCUACGCAGAAGAGCAGCACUUGGCCAAGUCUAUCCACAGAGGGACUUUAAUUUAGUGGUGAGUUACAGUGAUGUCUAAGGUCUCACUACCAGGAAGCCAGCAUUUGAACUUGCCCCCAGAGGCCAUAGUGAACAGCACCCUGCAAAACUUUGCUCCUUGCUGGACAGUCUGAGAUAAGGGCAGGAUUGUGUCUGAAGGUAGUAGGUGGGGAAAGAGGAGGAGAGACUACGAUAUUUGGGCCACAGAUGAUUCAUUUUCUUCACUAUUUGGUAUUUAUUUUUGUGGUGCUGGGCAUUGAACCCAGGGCCUUGUGCAUGCAAGGCAAGCACUCUACCAACUGAGCUAUAUCCAGUAUUUAUUAAUAUAUUAAUAUAUUCAGUGUUUAUUAAGCUUCUAAUUAUCAUAAGGAUGAAUGAGUUGAGGGUCCCGACCUUCAGGUUGGAAACCAGGAAAGAGACUAGGUCUUAGAGCAGUAGGACACGGUACCCCUGCCUUGAAGUAAUUGAUAACUUGGUUGGGGUAAAAAGAUGAAUGAGAGAGUUACAACAUCGACAGGCUAUAAUGGAGUGCUAAAACCACUGGGUUAAUGGUGGAAGUAACUGGGUUGAAAAUAUGAGAAAUAGUCAGAGGCUAUCUGACAGGAUGGUGGACACAAGGGGGAGCCACUGUGGGUUCUAGGAAGGUCCUGGUCAUGAUUAAAGCAGAGGAUUAGUAAAUAGAUGGAGGGAAUAGGACAUGGGACAAAACAGAGGACAUCAGCUUCCUAGUUCCUGCAUGAAUCCCCAGCCUGAGGGAUGGAGAAAAUGUCAUAUUUUCCUCACCUACUUAUUUUAAAUUUCAUGAUUUAUUUUGUGGUAUUCUAAGUGUUUUUUAAGCCUUGGGCGGUAGGUUGGCUUGGGUAGACUGAAGAGAAAGGAGUAAGCCUUGCUCAGUAACUGUGGUCUGAUUGACAAGGGAGGUCAAGGGAAAAGGAAAUUAAACUAGAGGUGAGGGGAGGGGAGAUUUUGAGUGAGGGUCUCCCAGGUGUGGCAUUCUGACCAGGGGAACAGGCAGGCUGGGGUCUGGUAGAAGCUCCCCAGCAGGGCACACAAGCCCUUCAGGCCUGACCUGCUCCCACAUUCCCAGUUGGGCUCCACCAGCACCCCCUGAAUUCCAACACAAACCUCCAACAACAAACUUCCACUCUUAGAAGCCUUGGGACCUCUGCACCUGCUGCUUACCUUCUUCUGAUAUGCCUUUCCUCUCCACUCCCCAAAUUCCAGUUCACCCUAUACUUUUUACUUUUUUUUUUUUUUUUUUUGGUACUAGGGAUAGAACUCAGGGGUGCUCUACCAUGGAGUUAUAUCCCCAGUCCUUCCCCAGGACUUUUUAAAUUUUUCAUUUUAAGACAGGGUCUCACUAAAUAGCUGAGGCUGCUCUUGAACUUGCAGUCCUCCUGCCUUGGCCUCCCAAGUCUUUGGGAUUACUGCCACUAGGCCAGCCCAGUUUCAUCCUUUAAAAAGUCUAAAGCUGUCUCUUUUUGAUGCAUGAUGACCCCUGGAAGAAUCAGUCAAAGCCCCUGUUCAGUACAAUACACUUUCUGCAGGUACCCUGAGCCCUCCUCCUACGCUUCCAGUAUUUUACAUGGUGCUCAGACAGGAAGAGUUCUGGGAAUGGGUUCAGUAAAGAUGCCUGAAGGAAGUUUUGUUUGGUUGGUUUGUUUUUGUAUUAGGAAUUGGACCCAGGGGCACUUUACCACUAGUGGGGAGCUACAUCCCCAGUCCUUUUUAUUUUGAGAUAGGGUCUUGCUAAAUUGCUGAGGCUGGUCUUGAAUUUGCAAUCCUCCUGCCUUAGCCUCCAAAGUCACUGGAAUUACAGGCAUCCGAAGUUUUGAAAAGUGGUAUUACACUCCCUGGUUGGGAAAUGCUGGUUGCACCUUGAAGUGGCAGUGCCAGAGAAAUAGGUGUAGCUAAGUCCUGGAGCCUGGGGGUUUUCUCAGGAGGGGAGAUAUCUUUCUGGGGAAGGGGUAGGUAUUUGGAUCUCUGAGACCAGAUGAGUGGUAAGUGGAUCAAGACUGGCAGAGGGUGGCAUAGAGGUCUGGGUUGCUGUGGUUUAGGAAGUACAGAGGAUGCUGCUGGGAACUGUAGCUGCCAAGAGAUGGGAACCUGCAGGGUCAUCAGGAAGGCAGUUUCAGAAGAAAGGGUCAAAUGCUGAAGAGCUAAAAUGAGACUAAGAAGAUGGAUUUCUGCACCACCUAGAAAUCAGGUCUGAUAGUAACCGUUAACUGCUCUUUAGUGUGGCAGAGUACGUAGGAUGGGGGAGGUGUUUGAGCAUCCUAAAUCUACCUGUGUUUCCCCAACAUUCUUGCUACCUGCAGCUGACCCUACCCUCCCCCCUGGAUAGCCCAGGAAGACAGUUUGGGAUUCAGAGCUGGGCCCACAAAGAAACAGGAAACCUAAAUGCUAAUUCCAUGCCAACCCCAAUCCCCAUUUGCUAUGUGAGCUGCGGCCAGUCAUAUAACUCUCUGGCCCAGUCCCCUAAUCUGAAAAUGAGGGGAUCAAUAGUUUUAGAACCUGACUGGAAACUACAGCAUUCUUUAUGACAUCUUUAAUUAUAGCAUAGGAAUAAAGAACAAUUUUACUGGCAGAAAAGAUAUUUUGUUUGGAGAUCUCACAUUAUGAGACCUGUAGUAUUUCAUUUUUUUUAAUAUUUGUUUUUUUAAAUAUUUAUUUUUUUUAGUUGUAGUUGAACGCAAUAUCUUUAUUCUAUUUAUUUAUUUAUACGUGGUGCUGAGGAUUGAACCCAGGGCCUUGCACAUUCUAGGCAAACAAUAACCCCAGCCCAGAGACCUGUAUUAUUUUCAAUUGUGUAUACCUUUAUCUCAGCUACUAGGGAGGCUGAGGCAGGACAAUCACAAGUUUAAGGUUAACCUGGGCAACUUAGCAAGACCAUGUCUCAAAAUAAAAAAUUAAAAAGGGCUGGGGAUGUAGCUCAGUGGUAGAGUGAAGCAUGAAGCCCUGGAUUCAAUACACAGCACCACAAA